RNAcentral lists this long non-coding RNA (1954 nucleotides) under Homo sapiens (human). RNAcentral's name for it is "HSALNT0106244". The record is from RNAcentral. Lineage: Eukaryota; Metazoa; Chordata; Mammalia; Primates; Hominidae.
GUGUCCAGCGCCGCGACCGGCUGGUCGUCCGCCUCGGCCCCCGCCCGCGUCCCCUUUCCCCCGGGGCGCAGCGCUACGGCGGGCGCGGGCCGCCCGGCGCAUUGUUCGCAGCCUUCGCGGCGGUGCGCUGCUGACUUUAUUUGUGCGCUUUGCGUGUGCGUGAGGUUGCACCUUUUGUAGGCUGGCGAGUCUCUGGACGAGGAUGGGACGGGGGACACGGGCCCAGUUGCGGCCCUGCGCGAGCGGGACCUGUCAGCCCUGAGGUGCAGCGGACCCUCCGGCAUGGCCGGAAAAUCGAGGCCGGGGAGAAGGCAGCGUGGCCGGGAAGCUGCCGCCUUAAACCCGGACCAGUGCAGGAUUGCUUCCUGCGUAGCCGUCCCGGUUAUUGUAACACGCUUUGCAAGCUAACGACUGGGAAUAAAGCCAAGUUGUGAUUUCGCCUCUACAGACCUCUCUACCCGCCCAGCUCUUCCUCGGAUAUUCUCCUAAACCAGAAGCUGCAGAGAAGGAAGGAUUUGGGAUUUGCGGCUACACAGCCAAGGACGCUUUUGUCAUCUUCAAAGGACCCCCUACACCCUACACGCUUGGCCCGCUCUGUUCAUUGCCAACAGAGUGAUGGUUGAAUGCAUUCACAUGGUUCCAAAUUCAAAUAAACAGCAAGAAGUCUCCCUCCCACCCUGUCUGCCACCCACUUGGUUUUCCUUCUCUGGAGGCAACCUGGGUUAGUGGUCAGAAGAUGCAUUUAACUGUUUUCCAGCUGAGGCCUUGUGAGAACUCCUCGGACACCAAUUUAAAUCUUUAUGUCCAGAACUCCUUUCUCCAAUCCAGAGAGAUGAGGUUCCACCAUUCUUGCCCAGACUGGUUUCGAACUCCUGGACUCAAGCGAUUUGCCUGCCUCGGCCUCAAAAAGUGCUGGGAUUACAUGCAUGAGCCACCACACCCGGACCCUCUCUCUUAAAUAGUGGCCCUUUUGCCUCUCUGCAACACAGGAAAAAUUCUGUUAGCCUGCAUCAGAAGGAGUGGCAUGGAGGCUUUGGAGUUAAGAAGAUUUAAUUCAAAUUAUGUGUCCGGUGCCUGCCAGCAAUGAGACCUUGGUAAGGUUUCUUAACCUCUCUGAGCUGGGACCAUACCUUCUGCGUUGGUUUAAUAUAAAGGUUAAAUGCAUGUAAAUAAAUGACUUCUAAAAUAAAUAACAUUCUAAAAUGUUAGUAACAACUAAAUACAAUAUUUAGAUCUUGUGAGGAUUUGAUUUGAAUAAAUAAGAUUUUUUUAAAAGACAUUUUUGAGACAAAAUGUAGACUAUCUGAUAUUAAGAAAUUAAUCACUUUUUCAGAUAUGAUAAUGGCAUUGCAGUUUUUUUUAAGUUCUUAUCUAUUACAGAUACAUAAUGAGGCAUUUUGAGUGAAAAUAUAUCUAGGAUUUGCUUUCCAAUACUCCAUCCCCUCCCCAUCAAAACACUAAAUAAAUGAAACAAGAUUAGUGAAAUACGGAAAAUUGUUGAAGUUAUUCAUUAUUCCAUUUCCCAUAUGGAACUUUCCAUACUAGUUUCCCUACUGCUGUUGAAUAUUUGACAUGUUUCAAAUACAUUUGAAAUAAAUUUAUUGUCUGAGAUGAUCAGGUUGAAAAAUAAUAAAAUGAAAUAAAUUUAAAAGUAAAAUAAACAUAACCCUUUUAAGCAUUAAAAUUAAAAAUUAUGAGGCUUGUUGAAUUAUUACUGUUAUAAAUAAUUACAUACAUGUAUUUUUGAAACAGUCUUGCUCUUUCACCCAGGCUGCAGUGCAGUGGCAUAAUCACAGUUCACUGCGGCCUCAACCUCCCAGGCUCAGGUGAUCCUUGCACGUCUGCCUCCCAAGUAGCUGGGACUGCAGGUGUGCACCACCAUGCCUGGCUAAAUUUUUCUCUUUUGUAGAGACGGGUUUUGCGAUUUUGCCCACACUGGUCUUAAAGUCCUGGG